Molecule: ribosomal RNA, 305 nt
Filed under: uncultured bacterium
Lineage: Bacteria
Description: bacterial SSU rRNA
Rfam family: Bacterial small subunit ribosomal RNA
Source: RNAcentral
UUUGCCUACGGGGGGCAGCAGUGGGGAAUAUUGCACAAUGGGGGAAACCCUGAUGGAGCAACGCCGCGUGAGUGAAGAAGGGUUUCGGUAUGUAAAGUUCUCUCAGCAGGGAAGAAAAUGACAGUACCUGACCAAGAAGCCCCGGCUAACUACGUGCCAGCAGCCGCGGUAAUACGUAGGGGGCGAGCGUUAUCCGGAUUCACUGGGCGUGAAGGGAGCGCAGGCGGCACGGCAAGUCCGGUGUGAAAGCCCGGGGCCCAACCCCGGGACUGCACUGGAAACUGCCGGGCUGGAGUGUCGGAGGG